ACACAUGCAAGUCGAACGAGAAAGCUUUUUUCGAAGAGUGAGUACAGUGGCGAACGGGUGAGUAACACGUUGGUGACCUGCCCCGAGGUGGGGAAUAACUGUGGGAAACCACGGCUAAUACCCCGGAUGUUAAAGAGUUUAGACAUCUUUAACUAAAGUUCCGGCGCCUCGGGAGGGGCCUGCGGGCUAUCAGCUUGUUGGUGGGGUAACGGCCUACCAAGGCUAAGACGGCUAGGGGGCGUGAGAGCGCGACCCCCCACAAUGGAACUGAGAAACGGUCCAUACUCCUACGGGAGGCAGCAGUGAGGAAUAUUGCACAAUGGGGGAAACCCUGAUGCAGCAACGCCGCGUGAACGAUGAAGGCCUUCGGGUUGUAAAGUUCUUUUCUGGGGGACGAUAGUGACGGUACCUCAGGAAUAAGUCCCGGCUAACUACGCGCCAGCAGCCGCGGUAAAACGUAGGGGGCGAGCGUUAUCCGGAUUUAUUGGGCGUAAAGCGCAAGUAGGCAGCGUUGUAAGUUGGACGUGAAAGCUCCCGGCUCAACUGGGAGAGGUCGUUCAAAACUACAGUGCUCGAGGUUGGAAGAGGAGAGUAGAAUUCCCGGUGUAGUGGUGGAAUGCGUAGAUAUCGGGAGGAAUACCAGUGGCGAAGGCGACUCUCUGGUCCACACCUGACGCUGAGGUGCGAAAGCGUGGGUAGCGAACGGGAUUAGAUACCCCGGUAGUCCACGCCGUAAACGAUGGAUACUAGGUGUAGGGGGUCACUGAAUCCCUCUGUGCCGUAGCAAACGCGUUAAGUAUCCCGCCUGGGGACUACGGCCGCAAGGUUAAAACUCAAAGGAAUUGACGGGGGCCCGCACAAGCAGCGGAGCGUGUGGUUUAAUUCGAUGAUACGCGAAGAACCUUACCUGGGCUGAACUACGUGGUAGUAGAGAAGCGAAAGCGGAUCGACCCUUCGGGGAGCCUCGAUAGGUGCUGCAUGGCUGUCGUCAGCUCGUGUCGUGAGAUGUUGGGUUAAGUCCCGCAACGAGCGCAACCCUUGUCGUUAGUUAUACGUGUCUAGCGAGACUGCCG
This 1073-nucleotide ribosomal RNA is filed under the name uncultured organism. RNAcentral's name for it is "bacterial SSU rRNA". It matches the Rfam family "Bacterial small subunit ribosomal RNA", at positions 51 to 1154 of the family's 1533-position model. The record is from RNAcentral.